This 72-nucleotide transfer RNA is filed under the name Actinomycetota bacterium. RNAcentral's name for it is "tRNA-Val". It matches the Rfam family "tRNA". From Rfam's summary of the family: Transfer RNA (tRNA) molecules are approximately 80 nucleotides in length. Their secondary structure includes four short double-helical elements and three loops (D, anti-codon, and T loops). Lineage: Bacteria; Bacillati; Actinomycetota. The record is from RNAcentral.
GCUCGGCUAGCUCAAUGGGAGAGCGCCUGGUUCACACCCAGGAGGCUGGAGGUUCGAGCCCUCCGCUGAGCA